This 814-nucleotide non-coding RNA is filed under the name Rhinotermes marginalis. Lineage: Eukaryota; Metazoa; Arthropoda; Insecta; Blattodea; Rhinotermitidae. The record is from RNAcentral.
GAGUUUGAUUCUUGCUUGGUUUAUUCAUUAUUAUUAUUGCUUUAUAUGUAAGUUUUUGCGUGAUUUAUAUGUUACCUUUUGAUAGGGUUACAUUAUUGACUUAAUUCCCAUUAUUUAUAAUUAACUUUUCAAGAUUUCUUGUAGUUAGCAAUUUAUUUUAGUUUCGGUUAAAUUUUGUGCCAGCAUCCGCGGUUAUACCUUGGAGGCUUAUGAAUAUGUUUGAAUUAUUUUAGUUAUAUUUUACUUGAGUUGAUUUUUGUUGAAUGAGUUUAUUGGGUGAAAUUUUUAUUGUUUGCUGAUUUCUUUUAUGUAUUUGGAUUGUGUCUAUGAAACUCUAAUUUUUAAACUAGGAUUAGAUACCCUAUUAUUUUGAGUGUUAAUUAUUUUUCUAGGUAGUAUUAGUUAAGUUCUUGAAACCUAAAGAAUUUGGCGGUAUUUUAUUCCGAUCAGAGGAAUCUGCUCCGUUAUCGAUAAUCCGCGUUGUACCUUACUUAGUUUACUUUGUUUGUAUACCGCCGUAUAUUGAUUAUCAUUUUAGUGUUUAAAUUUUCUUGAUCCUUAAUUUGGUUAUAUUUCAGGUCAAGGUGCAGCUUAUGGCUAAGUGUGAAGUGGAUUACAUUAAUUUUUUGUUUUUGGAUUGUGUUUUGUUAAUUAUAUGCAUGAAAUUGGAUUUGAUUGUAAUGUGUUGGUGAAGAUUGUUUUCAUGAUAAUUGGUUCUAAGAUAUGUACACAUCGCCCGUCGCUCUCGUUACUCCAUUAAUGAGAUAAGUCGUAACAAAGUGGUCGUACCGGAAGGUGUGGCUGGACUGAUAUA